GAAGCACUUGAAACAGAUUCUUCGGAUGAAGUUUCCUGUGACUGAGUGGCGGACGGGUGAGUAACGCGUGGGUAACCUGCCUCAUACAGGGGGAUAACAGUUAGAAAUGGCUGCUAAUACCGCAUAAGCGCACGGCAUCGCAUGAUGCAGUGUGAAAAACUCCGGUGGUAUGAGAUGGACCCGCGUCUGAUUAGGUAGUUGGUGAGGUAACGGCCCACCAAGCCAACGAUCAGUAGCCGACCUGAGAGGGUGACCGGCCACAUUGGGACUGAGACACGGCCCAGACUCCUACGGGAGGCAGCAGUGGGGAAUAUUGCACAAUGGGCGAAAGCCUGAUGCAGCGACGCCGCGUGAAGGAUGAAGUAUUUCGGUAUGUAAACUUCUAUCAGCAGGGAAGAAAAUGACGGUACCUGACUAAGAAGCCCCGGCUAACUACGUGCCAGCAGCCGCGGUAAUACGUAGGGGGCAAGCGUUAUCCGGAUUUACUGGGUGUAAAGGGAGCGUAGACGGCUGUGCAAGUCUGAAGUGAAAGGCAUGGGCUCAACCUGUGGACUGCUUUGGAAACUGUGCAGCUAGAGUGUCGGAGAGGUAAGUGGAAUUCCUAGUGUAGCGGUGAAAUGCGUAGAUAUUAGGAGGAA
RNAcentral lists this ribosomal RNA (638 nucleotides) under uncultured bacterium. Its description in RNAcentral is "bacterial SSU rRNA". It matches the Rfam family "Bacterial small subunit ribosomal RNA", at positions 48 to 706 of the family's 1533-position model. The record is from RNAcentral.